AAGAACCUUCAUACUUAAUACCUCUAUCACUCCUCCACUCAACAGGUGAGGAAACAUCAGUCCAGUGAGAGUGGCAUGUGUGGGGAGGAGCCCAGGCUUGCUCUGACCUCUCUCUGGGGCCCCCCACUCCAGAAGGUUGGAACAGCAUUCUACAGCAUUCCAGGAUGUGGAGGGGGCAGCAGUGUUUGUGUGCAGAGUGGCGAGGCCGACCUCCGAUGAGCUUCCCGUAGGAAGGGUGCAGUGGGGGGUGCUCACCCUGCCCAGGGAUGCUAUCUGCUCCAGGACUUGUUUAUCAGCCCACGGGGUGAUCGGCAUGACAUCAAUGGAUAUGCCAGGCUGCAGGCUACAGUGCCGAGAAGGAGAAGACGGAGGCGGUGGUGAUGUCACCCAAGGAAUUAAGUAAGCAGGGGAGCUGAUAACAUCGUCCAGCCA
This 432-nucleotide long non-coding RNA is filed under the name Homo sapiens (human). RNAcentral describes it as "HSALNT0030834". Lineage: Eukaryota; Metazoa; Chordata; Mammalia; Primates; Hominidae. The record is from RNAcentral.